Long non-coding RNA from Daphnia magna, 756 nucleotides. RefSeq lists it as uncharacterized. NCBI's taxonomy places the organism in Eukaryota, Metazoa, Arthropoda, Branchiopoda, Diplostraca, Daphniidae. The transcript has 3 exons. The record is from RefSeq and is a predicted model, not a curated record.
GCCAUUAUUUUUCCUCGUUGGCUUACUGAUUUGGGUCUUCACACACCGUAAAAUUGUAAGUAAACCAUUAACCUUUCAAUGUUGUAUUUUUUUGUAGAUAUAGCUUAGAUAUUCCCCUUGUUGUGCGAAUUUUUUUAAAUUUCUAUCUGAUCUCUAGUCAUGAUCUAUAAAUUCCUUUAUUAAACCACCUUUUUCCCCCUUUUCCCCCUUUUUCCCCCACCCCCUCUUUCUUUCUUUUGAAAAAGAGAUUCUUUUGAGAGAGGAUUGCAUUGUCCGGAUCAUAUUCAUCAGGGAUCGAUCAUGGCCGGCCCAUCAGACGCUAAUUGUGCCGUCUGUCAUUCCCAAUCCAAUGUGACCAAUCAGCUCUUUUGCGUGGCCUGCGGAAAACAUUACCACGGCUCCUGUGUCGGACUGGGUAGCGGCCCGGGAGUCUGAACGGCCUGGAAAUGCAACGAGUGCAAAGUUUGCAUCACCUGCAGGACUCCAGUGGACCAACAGGGAACUGGACUGGGGCCAAGGCUGUCACCGACCGAACCAAAAUGCUCGUCUGCGACACUUUUGACAAAAAUUACAACCCCUCCUGUGUCCGGCCGUUGAUUUCCAACAUUCCCAAACUUGGCUGGAAAUGCAAAAAUUGCCGGGUGUGCGCCGAUUGCGGGUCAAGGACGCCCGGAUCGAGUCCUUCAUUUCGCUGGCAAGCUUGUUUCACCGUCUGCGAUUCCUGUUAUCAACAGAGGAACAAGGGCGUUUCCUGCC